Molecule: ribosomal RNA, 334 nt
Filed under: uncultured bacterium
Lineage: Bacteria
Description: bacterial SSU rRNA
Rfam family: Bacterial small subunit ribosomal RNA
Source: RNAcentral
ACUCCUACGGGAGGCAGCAGUGGGAAUAUUGGACAAUGGGGAACCGUAGCUCCAGCCAUGCCGCGUGUAUGAAGAAGGAGCCCUCGGGUUGUAAAAGUACUUUCAGUGGUGAGGAAGGUUGCGUGGUUAAUACCCACGUAAUUUGACGUUAGCCACAGAAGAAGCACCGGCUAACUCCGUGCCAGCAGCCGCGGUAAUACGGAGGGUGCAAGCGUUAAUCGGAAUUACUGGGCGUAAAGCGCAUGCAGGCGGUUAAUUAAGUCAGAUGUGAAAGCCCGGGCUCAAGCCUCGGAAUUGCAUUUGAAACUGGCAGACUAGAGUACUGUAGAGGGGG